This is a long non-coding RNA of Mauremys reevesii (Reeves's turtle), 754 nucleotides long. RefSeq lists it as uncharacterized. NCBI's taxonomy places the organism in Eukaryota, Metazoa, Chordata, Testudines, Geoemydidae. The record is from RefSeq and is a predicted model, not a curated record. The transcript has 6 exons.
AUCAUUCGGAAUGUAUAUUUCCUGUCAUUCUCCCCAGAUAACCUAGAUCACUCUCCACACAAAGUGGUCUUCACCUAAACAAAUUUUUACUGCUUCAGGGAAUAAAGUAAAGACUUUUCCCAAACUGAUGCUAGCUAAGGAUGACCUAAUUGGAUCAAGUUGGAUGGCUCCACCUGAUAGGAAGACCACGCUUGAUUUUCUCAAGACCUUGGAGGGAGGAGCUGCAAGAACAAGAGACAUUUUUGCAUGGGCUUUUCUGGUGGCAGGGAGGGAAGCACAGCUGAAUAAUUCAAGACUGGAAUCUUAGUAUCCAACUUCCAUUAACCCCUUGAGAUCCACUCAUUAGGGGAAAUAGAACAAAAGAAAGUAUAAGAUGAAUAAAGCAGCAGAAAAGGCAGGAUGAGCAAAGAAACAUAUGCUACACUUACCAAAGAGGAGUUAGAAGAGCUGUGUGCACAGCAUGGUCUGUCAGCUGCUGAGCAGAAGAAAUCGGAGCUCGUGUGUCAUGAGAAAUACAUACGUGCAACCUGCCUACACUGCUGCAACUGGAAUGCAAGAACCAAGCCUGCAGUACAAAUGCUGUGUGAUUUGAAUUCUUAUAUUUCUUUAAAGUAAAAUAAUAUGACACUUCUGGACAACUCAGGUGGCUGACUGCAACUUGGAAUGAAAGUAAAAUGUUCACUGAAACCACACAUUCCUAGCUCAUGUCACAGGAGUCGUAGCAGACAUUAAUAAAUCAAGAGCUGUAUUCACA